GAAAGCGGCCGGCCGACUCUAUUCCUCUUCCUCGCGUACUCUCCUCUCUCCAUAGAUCUCUCCCCCACCAUGCUACAAAUGCUCAUGAAACCGCGUCAUAUGCCCACCAUUCAUCUGCCAUGAUUGCAGAAGAAACUGCUGCCCUAAACUGAUCCGGCACCACCUCCAUCUUUAAAAAGCUCACUCUAUUCCAAUUGAGUUCCAGCACGGCCGCCUCUUCACGUCCAUCUCUGCAAUUGUAAUCCAACAGGUUGUUCCCCGCUCUAGAUCUGAUCGACAUUUUGCCUCCUCCGAUUUGGUUGGAUUUUCAUUGGAUUAAGCCUCCACUGAAUCGGUGCGAUUACAAUUGGAUUCUGAGUGCUGGCCUCGACGGGGGUUCAUCUUCGGCUCAAGAUUUUGUCUACUCCAACAUCACGCCUUCCGGAUUUCCACUCAAAGUUAUACACCUGCACUAUUUGAUCUGUUGCUACCUCGGGAUCUCCGAUUUUCUUGGGAUUUAUUUCAGAUUCGUUGGGAUUUCUUCCAUCCUCAGUUUGGUCGCCCGAUGUUAAUGGACCUCGAUUGACUUACGAUCUCCUGUUCAUCAUCCACACUACACACUGCCUUCUUCCAUAGGGACUAUGUUUGAACCCUUGACCUUGGGGGACCACGUCAUUCAUUCAAACAUUGUGGUUCUUUAUUUUGGUAUGAAGAAUGUCUACAAAGAGAGAAAUACUUCUGAUCCAAGUUUUAGUGUCUUAGUGUGCUUCGGUAUCAUGCCAGCAUCGGCGAGGUAAACUGGGUCUGCAAAAAGCACAUUGAUUUCCUCCCUUGAGUCCAAAAAUAAACCCUCUAUGACCAUGUAAGUUUUUGCAUUAUGUUCCUCUAACCGUUUUGUGUGGUUAAAACAACUUUUCCCAUACUGGAUUGCAUCUGAACAGAUUGAUUUUUAGUCUUCGCACAAUGCGCUCUUGAGAUUAUGGAACGCAAGAAGUAAUAUGCUAAGACAUUGUUUUUGAUUAAUUUUGUUAGGAAGUUUAUGCCAGCAUUCUGAGCAGGUGUGCAUGCAUAAAUAUAGAAUCAUUGUACAUAUCUCUGGUAGUACUGCUGUGGACAUUUUUUCUCCAUUGUCUUGCCUGAAAAAUGUAGAAUCACACUCAUGUAUUUUACUGUAUAUGUUCUGCUAUUUACUUCCUUGAUUGCAGAAUCAGAGGUGUUGCUUUUGAGCGAUUAACCAGCUGGCCCAUCUGUAAGUGGUUUUGUUUUGGCCAUCUUUUCAACUAUUUUCACUAUAAUAUUUGUAUUAACAUUUUUUAUUUCAGUUUUGGUAUUAGAUUACACACUAAUGGACUCGAUGCGUGCUUUGCAUACUUUGCAAUUAGAUUACAGUUAAUUACUUUUACAUGAACGACUAUUCUUUGAGUUUUUCUGUAGGAAGUACCGAGAGACUUUUCUUACAUUUGAUUGAGACCCAGCAGGCUUCAUGCUCAAACUAUCACAUUCUUUUAUCAAUGUUUGCAUUUCAGUGAUUGUAAAUGGAUGGAUCUGAAUUCAAAUCAUUUUUGUGAAUGUUAGCAUUUUAUUGAUUGUAAAUGAAUGUAUUGGUUAUAAAAUAUUUUAAUGCCCUCAGUACAUCUGAAAUCCCUAAAUUCGUUCAUUGAAA
Molecule: long non-coding RNA, 1642 nt
Organism: Lolium rigidum
Lineage: Eukaryota; Viridiplantae; Streptophyta; Magnoliopsida; Poales; Poaceae
Exons: 4
Source: RefSeq, a predicted model, not a curated record